Molecule: ribosomal RNA, 830 nt
Filed under: uncultured beta proteobacterium
Lineage: Bacteria; Pseudomonadati; Pseudomonadota; Betaproteobacteria
Description: bacterial SSU rRNA
Rfam family: Bacterial small subunit ribosomal RNA
Source: RNAcentral
AGUCGAAGGCAGCGGGGGAGCUUGCUCCCGCCGGCGAGUGGCAAACGGGUGAGUAAUACAUCGGAACGUGCCCAGUAGUGGGGGAUAGCCCGGCGAAAGCCGGAUUAAUACCGCAUACGACCUACGGGUGAAAGCGGGGGACCGAAAGGCCUCGCGCUAUUGGAGCGGCCGAUGGCUGAUGAGCUAGUUGGUGGGGUAAAAGCCUACCAAGGCUACGAUCAGUAGCUGGUCUGAGAGGACGACCAGCCACACUGGGACUGAGACACGGCCCAGACUCCUGCGGGAGGCAGCAGUGGGGAAUUUUGGACAAUAGGCGAAAGCCUGAUCCAGCAAUGCCGCGUGCGCGAAGAAGGCCUUCGGGUUGUAAAGCACUUUUGUCAGGAAAGAAAUUGUUCGGGCCAAUACCCCGAGCCGUUGACGGUACCUGAAGAAUAAGCACCGGCUAACUACGUGCCAGCAGCCGCGGUAAUACGUAGGGUGCGAGCGUUAAUCGGAAUUACUGGGCGUAAAGCGUGCGCAGGCGGUUUGUUAAGACAGUUGUGAAAUCCCCGGGCUCAACCUGAGAACUGCAAUUGUGACUGGCAGGCUAGAGUUUGGCAGAGGGGGGUGGAAUUCCUGGUGUAGCAGUGAAAUGCGUAGAUAUCAGGAGGAACACCGAUGGCGAAGGCAGCCCCCUGGGCCAUGACUGACGCUCAUGCACGAAAGCGUGGGGAGCAAACAGGAUUAGAUACCCUGGUAGUCCACGCCCUAAACGAUGUCUACUAGUUGUUGGGUCUUCAUUGACUUAGUAACGAAGCUAACGCGUGAAGUAGACCGCCUGGGGAGUACGG